AUUGAACGCUGGCGGCAGGCCUAACACAUGCCAGUCGAGCGGAUGAAGGGAGCUUGCUCCUGGAUUCAGCGGCGGACGGGUGAGUAAUGCCUAGGAAUCUGCCUGGUAGUGGGGGAUAACGUCCGUUAACGGGCGCUAAUACCGCAUACGUCCUGAGGGUGAAAGUGGGGGAUCUUCGGACCUCACGCUAUCAGAUGAGCCUAGGUCGGAUUAGCUAGUUGGUGGGGUAAAGGCCUACCAAGGCGACGAUCCGUAACUGGUCUGAGAGGAUGAUCAGUCACACUGGAACUGAGACACGGUCCAGACUCCUACGGGAGGCAGCAGUGGGGAAUAUUGGACAAUGGGCGAAAGCCUGAUCCAGCCAUGCCGCGUGUGUGAAGAAGGUCUUCGGAUUGUAAAGCACUUUAAGUUGGGAGGAAGGGCAGUAAGUUAAUACCUUGCUGUUUUGACGGUACCAACAGAAUAAGCACCGGCUAACUUCGUG
Molecule: ribosomal RNA, 484 nt
Filed under: uncultured bacterium
Lineage: Bacteria
Description: partial 16S ribosomal RNA
Rfam family: Bacterial small subunit ribosomal RNA
Source: RNAcentral